This 467-nucleotide ribosomal RNA is filed under the name uncultured bacterium. RNAcentral describes it as "bacterial SSU rRNA". It matches the Rfam family "Bacterial small subunit ribosomal RNA", at positions 328 to 793 of the family's 1533-position model. The record is from RNAcentral.
UCAGUCGACUCCUACGGGAGGCAGCAGUGAGGAAUAUUGGUCAAUGGAGGCAACUCUGAACCAGCCAUGCCGCGUGAAGGAAGAAUGCCCUAUGGGUUGUAAACUUCUUUAUUUGGGAAGAAACCUUUCUACGUGUAGAAAGCUGACGGUACCAAACGAAUAAGGACCGGCUAACUCCGUGCCAGCAGCCGCGGUAAUACGGAGGGUCCAAGCGUUAUCCGGAAUCAUUGGGUUUAAAGGGUUCGCAGGCGGUUUAUUAAGUCAGUGGUGAAAUCUCGGGGCUCAACUCCGAAACUGCCAUUGAUACUGAUAAACUUGAGUAUAGUUGAAGUAGGCGGAAUGUGUAGUGUAGCGGUGAAAUGCUUAGAUAUUACACAGAACACCGAUAGCGAAGGCAGCUUACUAAGCUAUUACUGACGCUCAUGAACGAAAGCGUGGGGAGCGAACAGGAUUAGAUACCCUGGUAG